RNAcentral lists this ribosomal RNA (610 nucleotides) under uncultured bacterium. RNAcentral describes it as "bacterial SSU rRNA". It matches the Rfam family "Bacterial small subunit ribosomal RNA", at positions 68 to 681 of the family's 1533-position model. The record is from RNAcentral.
GAGGAAGAGAAGCUUGCUUCUUGAAUCUAGUGGCAAACGGGUGAGUAACACGUAAACACCUGCCUUCAGGAUGGGGACAACAGACGGAAACGACUGCUAAUACCGAAUGUGACCGCAUGAUGAAAGAUGGCCUUUUAAGCUAUCGCCUGAAGAGGGGUUUGCGUCUGAUUAGGCAGUUGGUGAGGUAACGGCCCACCAAACCUACGAUCAGUAGCCGGUCUGAGAGGAUGAACGGCCACACUGGAACUGAGACACGGUCCAGACUCCUACGGGAGGCAGCAGUGGGGAAUCUUCCGCAAUGGACGAAAGUCUGACGGAGCAACGCCGCGUGAGUGAUGACGGCCUUCGGGUUGUAAAGCUCUGUGAUCGGAGACGAUGCUGGUAGCUAAUACCAUUCAGAGUGACGGUACCCGAAUAGCAAGCCACGGCUAACUACGUGCCAGCAGCCGCGGUAAUACGUAGGUGGCAAGCGUUGUCCGGAAUUAUUGGGCGUAAAGCGCGCGCAGGCGGUUCUUAAGUCCAUCUUAAAAGUGCGGGGCUUAACCCCGUGGUGGGAUGGAAACUGGGAGCUGGAGUAUCGGAGAGGAAAGUGGAAUUCCUAGUGUAGCGG